GGGAGUCUGCUAAUGUCCAUCCAUGGUCAACAAAUACCCACUGCUGAGAGCUCUGAUUAUUAGCUAUAUCUCUUAAUCUGCAGCCGAAUUUGCCUGUGGCCAGUAUUGGAAUGCUGGGAGGUUUAGCACUGAGAAAAAAAAGAAGGUAAAAUUUAUUUGGCCUACUAUUUCAGAUACCCUAGAUUUAAUCUAUCACAUUCUCUUUCUAUUAUUAUUUUAUAUGAUGCUGUAAUGUCCUGAUGCUAGAGCAAAACUGCUACAGUAUCAAGCUUAUAUUUUGAUUUUAUUUUUUAAAGAUAGAUAGAUAGAUUGAUUGAUUUAUGAAAAAGAGAGCCCAUAGAUGGGGGGCAGCGAGGAGGGUGGUGAGGGUGGAGAGGGAGAAGGAGUCUUAAGCAGACUCCUCUCUGAGCACACAGACUGAUGCAGGGCUGGAUCUCAUGAGCCUCAGAUGAUGACCUGAGCUGAAACCAAAGUCGGAUGUUUAACCAACUGUACCACCCAGGCACCCCAUGCUUAUAUUUUUAAGUUAUAGAUUAUUUAGCCGAUCUUGGUUGGGAAUUACAUAAUUAAAGUAUUGACUCAUCUAUCAGUUUGCAGAAUGGCUAGAAACUAAACUGCCUGGAGCCUUAAAAUCCUCACUGGACUUAAAUAUCUGAAAAUUUGUUCAGUGUCUUUUUGAAAUAAAGCUUUUGUAUUGGGCCAUUGGAUAAGCUAAUGUUCAAGACUACAAUAAUAGUGGCUUGAACAAGAUAAAAUUUAUUUUCCCUCUUAUAUGAGCUCAGUUUAUUUUAAAAUGACAAUAUUUACUCAUUUUGAAAAAAAAUUCUCAAAUUUAAAAUAUACUUCAUUAGCGUCUAACUAGAAGUUGCAGAGUAACUCUGUGGCACACAUACUAUGACUGCACCCACAUUUUAAAAUACCGUUCGCUGAAAAAUACAUAGCCACUCUAGGCCCAUAGACUUCUAUUUCAGGGUCAAAACACAGACACACAAAUGCAGAACUUGGUAUACAUGGAAUCUUUCCAUGGAAUAGGGUAGAAAGUUGGAAAGAGUGGCUUAUGGACACAAAAUCUUGAUGGACAGGGACACUUGGGUGGCUCUGCGGUUGGGUAUCUGCCUUCAGCUCGGGGUGUGAUUCCAGGGUCCUGGGAUCAAGUCGGGCUCCCUGUAAGGAGCCUGCUUCUCCCUCUGCCUAGGUCUCUGCCCCUCUGUCUGUGUCUCUCAUGAAUAAAUAAAUGAAAUCUUUUUUUAAAAAAGUCUUGAUGGACAAAAGAGAUUAUAACUCUUGAGCUAUUCAAGAGAUCUAUUAUCCCAUAGUAUUCGUUUACAGAAGUAUUAGAAGUAUUGAAGAAAUGCUAUUUGCAAGUGAAAGACUCAUGCUUUAAAAUUUGUGGGUCUGAUUAUCACUGCUUUAAACUCUCAAUGUCUUCUAACUUACAAAUACUAAGGCAUCAUGUUAGUUUUUAGGACAGAUUUUAGGUUCUGGUGCAUUAGAUUUUCCCAUCAUCUAACAGAGCAUGUCUAAAUUCCAAAGGAUUUUCUUGGAUAGUGUGAACAAAAUAUUAGGAAGCUUUUUUCAACAUUUAGAGGUCAUUUAUAUAACAGAAUUCUGUUAUUUGGGACAUAGUUGGGAAUCUAGAAGUUAAAGAUUCUAAGCAGUCAAGAUACAAUUUGCUCCUAGGAGCUUCCCAGGCUUUCACUUAGGACUAGGAUCCCCCAAUUCUAAAAAGGUAGCUUGGUUCACAGCAAAUUAGAAGAAAUUAAAAGAGAACUGGGGAGGGAGAAAUCAAGGAGAUUCCAGAAAAGUCAAGAGCAACCUGCAACUAUCCAGCCAUAUUCAGUCUACCUGGCAAAUUGGAAUAAUGACAACCUUCAUCUAUUGCUUAUGUUAUACCAGGCAAUGGGCUAAGUGUUUUGUAACCCAUUAUUUCGAUCACAAUAUCCCUGUGACAAAGAUAUUUUUGUCCUCAUCUUAUACUGGCACAGAAGUUAAGUAACUUGCCUAAAGUCACAUUGAGUAUUUAACUGAAGUAUUAUUUGAACCUAAUAUAUAAUUAAAUAUAAAAUAUAUUUAUAAAAUACGUAAUUAGGAGGCCUCUUUCUGAAUCGCUAGCUAUGUAGUUAUGUUCUACAUAUGAACAUAUGUUCUACAAUCGCUAGCUUUUCUACCCAUACAUAAAAAUCAUAAUGUAAAAUUAUUCAGAGUAAAUAGCUUGUUGUAUCCUUGGCUUAGUAAACAAUGAAUUGGUAAGCUGGAUCAGGAAUUUUAUAUAUUUGAAGUGAGAAAAGCACUAAUUUUGGUGUCACAAAUUGCAUAUGUAUAAAUGCUGAGAAUUUUCGGUUUAUUAAGUCAAGGUAUCUCAACAAUGGCACCUUAACAUUUUGGGUCAGAUAAUUAACUCUUUGUUGUGAGACGCUGUCCUGUGCAAUGCAGGAUAUUUAGCAGCAUCCCAAGCCUCUACCCAUUAGCUGCCAGUGGCAACUCCAUCCCCAGUUGUGACAACCAGAAAUGUCUCCAGACAUUGCUAAAUGUUCCCUGCAGAGCAACAGUGUCCUUAGUGGAGAAUCACUGGUUUAAGUAAAAGAGCUCAUAUAAGUGAAGCCUAUUUUAACUUUUUAGAAUAGAUUAUGACAAACUUAAAAGAGGCUUUAAUCAAUUCCUUAUUUGACAGUUUAGGGGACUGAAGUGGGCGAGACAGAGGGAGAGGGAGAGGGAGAAUCUUAAGCAGAUUCUAUGUGGGGCUCAAUCCCACAACCCUGAGAUCAUGACCUGAGGUGAAAUCAAGAAUUGGACCCUUAAUGGACUGAGCCAUCCAGGCACCCUAACAGUGGCUGUACUGUACUACAUAUCCAAAAAAAUGUAUAAGCCUUCCUAUUUCUCCACAUUCCUCCCAAACUUGUUUUCCUUUUUUUUUUUAAUAAAAAAUAUAGCCAUCUUAGUCUAUGUGAGGAAGGUGAUAUCACAUAUUGUGGCUUUAAUUUGCAUUUCCUCAAUGACCAAUGAAGUUGGCCAUCUUUUUCACAUGCUUGUAGCGAUUUGUAUUGCUUGUAGCUAUUUGUAUAUAUUCUUUGGAGAAAUACCUUUUUAAGUCUAUUGCUCAUUUUUUACUGGAUUGUCUUUGUUACUGUGUUGUACAAGUUCUUUAUAUAUUCUGGAUAUUAAACUCUUAUCA
RNAcentral lists this long non-coding RNA (3172 nucleotides) under Canis lupus familiaris (dog). Its description in RNAcentral is "lncRNA (ENSCAFG00805003990.1, ENSCAFG00845002831.1)". The record is from RNAcentral. Lineage: Eukaryota; Metazoa; Chordata; Mammalia; Carnivora; Canidae.